RNAcentral lists this unclassified non-coding RNA (282 nucleotides) under Hevea brasiliensis (rubber tree). Lineage: Eukaryota; Viridiplantae; Streptophyta; Magnoliopsida; Malpighiales; Euphorbiaceae. The record is from RNAcentral.
AAAAUAAGUUCUUUUGGACUCUGAGAAAAGGCAAAAUCAUAAGUUCAACUAAUCUGUACCAGAAUCUAAAAUCCUAGAUGAAUUGGCCCUUGGAUAUGGUUUCAAAGCGGCUUUGCACUUGGCAGGUCUUGGUCACUAAGGAAAUGAUCAUAUCUUGAGUGACAGCCCAAUAGUCCUUAAGCACAGGGGCACACACCAAUUAGGAAGAUGAUAGUUUGAUUUAACAGACAAACUCUUAAAAAUGUCCAACUCACUCACCGUUAGAAGUCUACCUUCAAUAUG